AGCAUUUCUCUCAGUCAAUAUUUUCAUGUUAGAGAAAUCUAUGAACAGAACAUGGAUGGUGAGGUGAUAAUACGGUUUAGAGAGCCAGCUAAGGUUCUCGAAGAGAGUCCCUCUCAUCUAAAAGAUAUCAUAAAAAAAGUCUUCAACCUUGAAAAGGAAAGCAAGAUACCUCCUCCUGAGAGUGGCGAUAUGACAACCUUGAGCAAAAGUAAAAGCAACGCCAACUUCCUGACAGAAGCGAAGGAAAUCCAAGAGUGCCCAGCUUCCGAAAUGGAGGAGGAUGCCAAGAGCUCAAAAGAUAGAGUCAUAAGUGAGAAGACACAGACCUUCAAAGAAAGUCUUUCCCAGGAACCUGGAGAACUAGAGACCCCAGGAGAAAGCUUGGCAGAAGCUAGCAAACACCUAGUAGACCAGACAGAGAAUGAGAC
RNAcentral lists this long non-coding RNA (428 nucleotides) under Vombatus ursinus (common wombat). RNAcentral's name for it is "lncRNA (ENSVURG00010012200.1)". Lineage: Eukaryota; Metazoa; Chordata; Mammalia; Diprotodontia; Vombatidae. The record is from RNAcentral.